UACGGAGGGUGCAAGCGUUAAUCGGAAUUACUGGGCGUAAAGCGCGCGUAGGCGGCUGUCUAAGUCGGGUGUGAAAGCCCCGGGCUCAACCUGGGAACUGCAUCCGAUACUGGUCGGCUAGAGUAUGGGAGAGGGAGGUAGAAUUCCACGUGUAGCGGUGAAAUGCGUAGAUAUGUGGAGGAAUACCGGUGGCGAAGGCGGCCUCCUGGCCCAAUACUGACGCUGAGGUGCGAAAGCGUGGGGAUCAAACAGG
This 253-nucleotide ribosomal RNA is filed under the name uncultured bacterium. RNAcentral's name for it is "partial 16S ribosomal RNA". It matches the Rfam family "Bacterial small subunit ribosomal RNA", at positions 524 to 776 of the family's 1533-position model. The record is from RNAcentral.